This 515-nucleotide ribosomal RNA is filed under the name uncultured bacterium. RNAcentral describes it as "partial 16S ribosomal RNA". It matches the Rfam family "Bacterial small subunit ribosomal RNA", at positions 28 to 523 of the family's 1533-position model. The record is from RNAcentral.
GAUGAACGCUGGCGGCGUGCCUAAUACAUGCAAGUCGAGCGAAUGGAUUAAGAGCUUGCUCUUAUGAAGUUAGCGGCGGACGGGUGAGUAACACGUGGGUAACCUGCCCAUAAGACUGGGAUAACUCCGGGAAACCGGGGCUAAUACCGGAUAACAUUUUGAACCGCAUGGUUCGAAAUUGAAAGGCGGCUUCGGCUGUCACUUAUGGAUGGACCCGCGUCGCAUUUGCUAGUUGGUGAGGUAACGGCUCACCAAGGCAACGAUGCGUAGCCGACCUGAGAGGGUGAUCGGCCACCCUGGGACUGAGACACGGCCCAGACUCCUACGGGAGGCAGCAGUAGGGAAUCUUCCGCAAUGGACGAAAGUCUGACGGAGCAACGCCGCGUGAGUGAUGAAGGCUUUCGGGUCGUAAAACUCUGUUGUUAGGGAAGAACAAGUGCUAGUUGAAUAAGCUGGCACCUUGACGGUGCCUAACCAGAAAGCCACGGCUAACUACGUGCCAGCCGCCGCAGUAA